AAUUUUUUUUUAUAAUUCUUUAUUUGGUAUUUCUUCAUCUCAUACAAUAUCUAUAUGCAUUUUUUUUUAUAAAGAAGAAUACAAUACAAGUUUAUUCAUUUUGACCUGUCAGUGUCAGUGCUUAUAAACAUCCCCCUCCCUAUACCAAAUAACCCCCCCCCCCCCCCCCCCAAAAAAAAAUACAAAAAACUAAACUAAAAACAAACAAAAAAGAGAACAAUACAAAAACAAAAAGUACAAAAAACAAACAAACAAAAAAUAAAUAAAAUAAAAUAAAAUAAAUAUAAAAAAUCAUUGACUUAUAUUCAUAAAUGAUUAAAUUGGUAUUAAACGAUUAUAAUUAUUAUUUAUGCAAUCUAAUCAUUCUAUUCAUACAUGUACUCAUAUCAUAAUAUAUAUAGUGGCAUACUCUAACAAUAUCUGGAAAUCACAUAACAAAAAACAAAAACCAACCAGUAUUUCAACUCAUAUUAUCAUAACAUAGUAACACAUAUUUAAUUCUUCCAUACAUACAUAUAUAUAAUAUCUAUUUGAUGCACACUAACCACUGUCCAAUUGUGAUGUGCAUCAAGUUGUGUUACACAUUUAUUUUCAGUUAAGUAUGAGUUAUCUUUCUUGUAUCAUAAAAUUAGUUGUUGAAAUGGUUCCCAUUUUUUUUCUAUUUUUUCACCUAUUGCAGGAGAACUGUGAAAAGUGGAAGAUAGUUUUUCAACAAUGUAAUAAUUUUUUCAAUUUCUUUAGUGCAAUCUUAACACAAGGUAACAGUGAGUUCAAUCUACAAGAAUAAAUAUAGUACUUCAUGAGAACAGUGAAAAAAUUUCCUGA
Molecule: long non-coding RNA, 825 nt
Filed under: Mytilus galloprovincialis (Mediterranean mussel)
Lineage: Eukaryota; Metazoa; Mollusca; Bivalvia; Mytilida; Mytilidae
Source: RNAcentral